This 229-nucleotide ribosomal RNA is filed under the name uncultured eukaryote. Its description in RNAcentral is "partial 18S ribosomal RNA". The record is from RNAcentral.
UGGUGGAGCGAUUUGCCUGGUUAAUUCCGUUAACGAACGAGAACCCUUCUUCUUAAUAGGACAGACAUUCUCAGCCGUGCCGUCGGGCUUCGCCUGGCUGGCACUUGUCUCCAGUGGCACGCCGGUCUGCGUGCGCCGCCUUCGUGUGGACGCCGCAGCUGGAUCAACGUGCCCGGGGACACGGAACGUCAUUGCGCUUCUUAGAAGGACGGUGCUGCGUAUAGACCAG